This 316-nucleotide unclassified non-coding RNA is filed under the name Hevea brasiliensis (rubber tree). Lineage: Eukaryota; Viridiplantae; Streptophyta; Magnoliopsida; Malpighiales; Euphorbiaceae. The record is from RNAcentral.
AUCAACAAACACAAAGCCCUCGUUUUUCAUACUGUGAGGCCAAAAAAUACUGUGCUUGUUUGCAUUUAUAUCAGGCAUUUGUUCUUCAGAUGAUCCCUCGGCAGACACUUUCUGCUUAUUUUCACGGACAGCAUUGUUUAAAUACUCUGUUUCGGUAGAAGUAGCAGAAGACUGUCCAUGGUUUGCUAAACUAUAGGGGUGGCUAUGGAGACCAACAUCAAUGCCCUUUCCGUUGAUUGGAUACAUUUGAAAAGUCGCUUUGCUUUCACCAUUAUCCUGUGAGUCUAUAUCUGAAAACAAAUCUGCAGGAGGUGAU